RNAcentral lists this ribosomal RNA (442 nucleotides) under uncultured bacterium. Its description in RNAcentral is "partial 16S ribosomal RNA". It matches the Rfam family "Bacterial small subunit ribosomal RNA", at positions 338 to 795 of the family's 1533-position model. The record is from RNAcentral.
CCUACGGGCGGCAGCAGUGGGGCAUCUUGGUCAAUGGACGCAAGUCUGACCCAGCAACGCCGCGUGAAGGAAGAAGGCUUUCUGGUUGUAAACUUCUUUUAAUGGGGAAGAGCAGAAGACGGUACCCCUUGAAUAAGCCACGGCUAACUACGUGCCAUCAGCCGCCGUAAUACGUAGGUGGCAGGCGUUGUCCGGAGUUACUGGGUGUAAAGGGCGUGCAGCCGGAGAGACAAGUCAGAUGUGAAAUCCACGGGCUCAAGCCGUGAACUGCAUUUGAAACUGUUUCCCUUGAGUGUCGGAGAGGUAAUCGGAAUGCGUGGUGUAGCGGUGAAAUGCGUAGAUAUCAGGAAGAACACCAGUGGCGAAGGCGGAUUACCGGACGAUAACUGACGGUGAGGCGCGAAAGCGUGGGGAGCAAACAGGAUUAGAUACCCGUGUAGUC